RNAcentral lists this ribosomal RNA (744 nucleotides) under Triticum aestivum (bread wheat). RNAcentral describes it as "partial small subunit ribosomal RNA". Lineage: Eukaryota; Viridiplantae; Streptophyta; Magnoliopsida; Poales; Poaceae. The record is from RNAcentral.
AUGGUUGAGUGCAGGAUCAUGGCUGACCUGUCCAUCGCUGCUCCGAGCCUUGUAUCACUGCGCUGUGUCAUACCAUACCACCGUGCUCCGUCGUUCGAAAACUUGGGGUCGCUGGCUACCGGCACCAUCAUGUGAAAUGACUCUUUCUUGCAUGAUAAGUUUGAAUACAAGUACAAAGAUCGCGAUGAAGAUGCAUUUGAAUGUGAUAGCGGCGACGACAGUGACUCCGAUGAUGACCACUGUGAUAGUGAUACUGAUACCGACUUGAGCACUUCUGACAUAUUGGAUGGUGCUAAAGUUUUAGGUGGCCAAAAUGUUAUCCGCAGCCUUUCAAAUGCUACAAGUUUAGAGCUGAUAGCUGAUGCCGGAGAGUUGAUUCUUAAUAGGGAAUUGGAAAUAUGCCAAAUUUUUAGCAACCUGAAGGUGUUAGCCCUUGGUGAGUGGUGUAUGGCUGCCGACUUCUAUCCGUUAGUUUCAUUCUUGCAGCAUGCUCCAAAUCUGGAGUCUCUUUUUCUUAAACUUAAAACGGAUCAUGAGGAAAUAGAAGACAAUAUCAGACUGGAGGGUAUAUCAUUUGCUUGCAAGAACCUUACAAUGGUCAAGAUAAAAUGUCCCAAGGAUGAUGAAAGAGUUCCUGUGUUAACACAAAUGUUCAUGGCUAAUGGCAUACCCAUCGAAAAGAUAGAUGUCUGUCACCGUGAGACUCGCAAAACUUGUGAGUCAUGUAUUAUUACCGUAUCUUAA